GUGUCAGCCGCCGCGGUAAUACGUAGGGUGCAAGCGUUGUCCGGAAUUACUGGGCGUAAAGAGCUCGUAGGCGGUUUGUCGCGUCGUCUGUGAAAACCAGCAGCUCAACUGUUGGCUUGCAGGCGAUACGGGCAGACUUGAGUAUUUCAGGGGAGACUGGAAUUCCUGGUGUAGCGGUGAAAUGCGCAGAUAUCAGGAGGAACACCGGUGGCGAAGGCGGGUCUCUGGGAAAUAACUGACGCUGAGGAGCGAAAGCGUGGGUAGCGAACAGGAUUAGAUACCCUGGUAGUCCACGCCGUAAACGGUGGGCGCUAGGUGUGGGUUUCCUUCCACGGGAUCCGUGCCGUAGCUAACGCAUUAAGCGCCCCGCCUGGGGAGUACGGCCGCAAGGCUAAAACUCAAAGGAAUUGGCGG
RNAcentral lists this ribosomal RNA (414 nucleotides) under uncultured bacterium. RNAcentral's name for it is "bacterial SSU rRNA". It matches the Rfam family "Bacterial small subunit ribosomal RNA", at positions 505 to 916 of the family's 1533-position model. The record is from RNAcentral.